UCUUACCAUGCAGUCGAACGAUGAAGCCCUUCGGGGUGGAUUAGUGGCGAACGGGUGAGUAACACGUGGGCAAUCUGCCCUGCACUCUGGGACAAGCCCUGGAAACGGGGUCUAAUACCGGAUAUGACUGUCCGCCGCAUGGUGGAUGGUGUAAAGCUCCGGCGGUGCAGGAUGAGCCCGCGGCCUAUCAGCUUGUUGGUGAGGUAGUGGCUCACCAAGGCGACGACGGGUAGCCGGCCUGAGAGGGCGACCGGCCACACUGGGACUGAGACACGGCCCAGACUCCUACGGGAGGCAGCAGUGGGGAAUAUUGCACAAUGGGCGAAAGCCUGAUGCAGCGACGCCGCGUGAGGGAUGACGGCCUUCGGGUUGUAAACCUCUUUCAGCAGGGAAGAAGCGAGAGUGACGGUACCUGCAGAAGAAGCGCCGGCUAACUACGUGCCAGCAGCCGCGGUAAUACGUAGGGCGCAAGCGUUGUCCGGAAUUAUUGGGCGUAAAGAGCUCGUAGGCGGCUUGUCACGUCGGUUGUGAAAGCCCGGGGCUUAACCCCGGGUCUGCAGUCGAUACGGGCAGGCUAGAGUUCGGUAGGGGAGAUCGGAAUUCCUGGUGUAGCGGUGAAAUGCGCAGAUAUCAGGAGGAACACCGGUGGCGAAGGCGGAUCUCUGGGCCGAUACUGACGCUGAGGAGCGAAAGCGUGGAG
This 700-nucleotide ribosomal RNA is filed under the name Streptomyces sampsonii. RNAcentral describes it as "bacterial SSU rRNA". It matches the Rfam family "Bacterial small subunit ribosomal RNA", at positions 47 to 766 of the family's 1533-position model. Lineage: Bacteria; Bacillati; Actinomycetota; Actinomycetes; Kitasatosporales; Streptomycetaceae. The record is from RNAcentral.